CCUACGGGUGGCAGCAGUGAGGAAUAUUGGUCAAUGGGCGGAAGCCUGAACCAGCCAAGUCGCGUGAGGGAUUAAGGCCCUGCGGGUCGUAGACCUCUUUUGCCGGGGAGCAGUGGGCCGGACGCGUCCGGGCCGGGAGAGUAACCGGAGAAAAAGCAUCGGCUAACUCCGGGCCAGCAGCCGCGGUAAUACGGAGGAUGCGAGCGUUAUCCGGAUUUAUUGGGUUUAAAGGGAGCGUAGGUGGAUUGUUAAGUCAGUUGUGAAAGUUUGCGGCUCAACCGUAAAAUUGCAGUUGAAACUAGCAGUCUUGAGUACAGUAGAGGUGGGCGGAAUUCGUGGUGUAGCGGUGAAAUGCUUAGAUAUCACGAAGAACUCCGAUUGCGAAGGCAGCUCACUGGACUGCAACUGACACUGAGGCUCGAAAGUGUGGGUAUCAAACAGGAUUAGAUACCCCAGUAGUC
RNAcentral lists this ribosomal RNA (461 nucleotides) under uncultured bacterium. RNAcentral describes it as "partial 16S ribosomal RNA". It matches the Rfam family "Bacterial small subunit ribosomal RNA", at positions 338 to 795 of the family's 1533-position model. The record is from RNAcentral.